RNAcentral lists this long non-coding RNA (2696 nucleotides) under Homo sapiens (human). RNAcentral describes it as "HSALNT0355075". The record is from RNAcentral. Lineage: Eukaryota; Metazoa; Chordata; Mammalia; Primates; Hominidae.
AGGAACAGCAACGCUCAGCUCAGCUGGACAGUCAGCCCAACAAGCUCAGAGAUGGCCAGGGACAACAGGAACUCAUAGGAAAGUCCAGGCCAUCCCAGGGGCCUUGCAACAGGCCCCGAAGACCCAGCGAUGGGGAGGAGGAAGCUGGAGAGAGGAAUGGUAGAAGCAGUACUUGGGAAACUGCUCAACUGGGGAGAUGAAAGGUGAACACUGUGCUACACUCACAGCAUUUUAAACCUUGCAGCUCCCAGCAACUCUGCCCUAAUGAGAAGCAGGAAGAGCCGCGGCAGGCCAGGAAGGGAGUUGCUUGGAGGCGAGGAGGAUGGGAGGGCAGAGAGCUUAACGAAGUCUCUGUGCCCUGCCACCCUGGGAGCCAUCCUGCCCCCACAGAGACCCCCACAGAGGGUUUCCAAGCAGGGGAGAGCAACCAGAGUCCCCAGGCUGCAUUUUGGGCUCUGGUGAUACAGACUGGAAUGCAGCUGAGGGUUAGAGCCGUGAGCGGGAAAUGCGGGGUACAACUGUGGGGUGCGCCCACUGCACCGUGCAUCAUGCCGAAAAGGUCCUGUAGCGGUUAUAGCGGGACCCAGUACCCCUGCCUCACCCCAUGCCCAGAUAUCAAGAACAUACAGAUAUCAAGAUCAUACAGCUGGGGAACAGCAGAGGGGCUCCUGGAUGCUCUUCUUCAGGGUGAGGCCGGCUUCAUCCACUUCAGGGAUGUCUAGGGCUGGAUGUCAUAGCCACCUCAUUAAAUGUGUCUGCUUUUUCCAGCCUCAUCCUCAUCCCUAGCCCCAGCUCCAGGCCCAGCCUGCUUUUAACAAGACAGUGAAGAGUGGCAGUUAAAGGUCUGGCUGGCAUCAGACAGUGCUGAAUUCAAACACCAGCUGAGCUGAAAACGGCCUGACUGGGUGACCUUGAGCAAGCAGCCUGCCCUCUCUGAGGCUCAGUUUAUUUUCUGGAAGGGAGAAGACGGUGUCUACUUCCAAUGACCGCCAUGAUGUUUCAGGUUCAGCCCGAAGGGUGAGCAGCCAAUAAAGAGUGCCGAGAACGGCCUCUGGCCUGCCAGGUAGAGAAAUGACCUGAUUCCUUCCAGAAGUUUCCAGUGUUCCCAAGCUGAUGAGGCUCCUGGGAGAUGCCUCCAGAUCUCUUAACGUUCAGGGAAGCAUGGGCUCUGGUUGCAUUAGGGAGGAUUUAUUUUAUUUUUAAAGGAGUUGAGGCCACUUUGCAAUCAGAGCCUUCGUGGCUGGAGCUGGGCGAGCUGAGGAAGGAGUAUUAAUCAAGGCGCUUUAAGGACAUGCAAAUCAGGAGAAAGCUCAAGUGAUUAGGGUGUGAUGGGGCCUGGAGUCCAGCCUAUAUCCCCAUCUGAGAAGAGAGAGCCAGAGUGCCAGGCAAGGUGGCUCAGGCCCAGCUGGGGGCGGCAGCCAAGGGGCUGCCAUGGGGCCAGGAACUGUGGGUUGGGAGCAAUUGGAGGCAGAGGGAAGGGAGCCACUCCAAGGUGGCUGAAGGGUCCCUGAUGCCUGCGCUGUCCACAUGGUACUCUGGCUGGCUUCCCCGCCUCCCCCACAGCUGCAGAGGGGCUGCUCUGGCAUGAUCCCCUGCCUGGCUGGGACAGGCCCCUCUUCCUAAGGAUACAGAAUGGUUAUUUGGGUGAGAGGGGCCCACCGGCGCUGCUGGGGGCGGGAUGGCGAAUGUGACGUCAGCGAUCUGCGGUAUCUUCAGGGUGACAGCCGUACCCCCCGCGUGGGACCCAGGGCUCCACAUCUAUAGACCUGACCCAAGGAAAGACUCAGGCCUGUGCACAAGGAUGCCAUCUCGGGGACUGCGUAUUCAUAAGAAGCUGAAUCAAACAGUGUCCAACAAGGGGGGUUGUUCGAGCUGGUUAUGGGACGUGUUUACCACGGACGUUCAGGUCCUCCUGAGAAAUGACGACCUAGACAUGGGAAGAUGGUUGCAAUGUAUUGUUCCGCAAAGGAGAAAAAAAGCAGGUUGCAAAACCCUGGGAACUGUCUGCCCACCUUCAAAAAGUCGGUCAUAUAUCUAGAAAAAUCUGGAAGGGUAGCCACAAAAACAUCAUCAGUAGGUACUUUGGAGAGGUUAUUGUUACUUUCCCCUUUUAUGUUAAUUUUUGUGCAAUAAACAUAUAUGUAUUUGUAAUCAAUAAAGCCAUCUUCUUUUCUCUUUUUAAGAAAGCUGCUAUCUGGCUGUGCGCGGUGGCUCAUGCCUGUAAUCCCAGCACUUAUGGGAGGCCGAGGCGGGCGGAUCAUGAGGUCAGAAGAUCGAGAGCAUCCUGGCUAACACGGUGAAACUCCAUCUCUACUAAAAAUACAAAAAAAUUAGCCGGGCAUAGUGGUGGGCCCCUGUGGUCCCAGCUGCUCGGGAGAUUGAGGCAGGAGAAUGGCGUGAAUCUGGGAGGCGGAGCUUGCGGUGAGCCGAGAUCGCGCCACUGCACUCCUACCUGGGUGACAGAGCGAGACUCCUUCUCAAAAAAAGAAAGAAAGCUGUUCUCUUGCUUGGCCUCAUACCUCCCCCAAUCUCCUUAAUACUAAAUAAAAGAUCCCAGUGGACCCUGAGAGGGACACCCCCGCAGCCCUCUCAGGAGUCCCCUUGCUAGCACAAAGCAGGUCUCCACCACCCAAGAGGCAGGCAGACCAGGUAUGGGGGUCAUUGACAGACCCUCACCCUGCCCCAUGCAUUUUUUG